RNAcentral lists this ribosomal RNA (743 nucleotides) under uncultured bacterium. Its description in RNAcentral is "bacterial SSU rRNA". It matches the Rfam family "Bacterial small subunit ribosomal RNA", at positions 8 to 796 of the family's 1533-position model. The record is from RNAcentral.
AGAGUUUGAUCCUGGCUCAGAACGAACGCUGGCGGCAGGCUUAACACAUGCAAGUCGAACGCAUCCUUCGGGGUGAGUGGCAGACGGGUGAGUAACGCGUGGGAACGUGCCCUUCAGUUCGGGAUAACCCAGGGAAACUUGGGCUAAUACCGGAUACGUGCGAGAGCAGAAAGAUUUAUCGCUGAAGGAUCGGCCCGCGUCUGAUUAGCUAGUUGGUGAGGUAAUGGCUCACCAAGGCGACGAUCAGUAGCUGGUCUGAGAGGAUGAUCAGCCACACUGGGACUGAGACACGGCCCAGACUCCUACGGGAGGCAGCAGUGGGGAAUAUUGGACAAUGGGCGCAAGCCUGAUCCAGCCAUGCCGCGUGAGUGAUGAAGGCCUUAGGGUUGUAAAGCUCUUUCGGCGGGGACGAUAAUGACGGUACCCGCAGAAGAAGCCCCGGCUAACUUCGUGCCAGCAGCCGCGGUAAUACGAAGGGGGCUAGCGUUGUUCGGAAUCACUGGGCGUAAAGGGCGCGUAGGCGGCUUUUAUAAGUCGGGGGUGAAAGCCUGUGGCUCAACCACAGAAUUGCCUUCGAUACUGUAUGGCUUGAGACCGGAAGAGGUAAGUGGAACUGCGAGUGUAGAGGUGAAAUUCGUAGAUAUUCGCAAGAACACCAGUGGCGAAGGCGGCUUACUGGUCCGGUUCUGACGCUGAGGCGCGAAAGCGUGGGGAGCAAACAGGAUUAGAUACCCUAGUAGUCC